GUGGGGAAUUUUUCGCAAUGGGGGAAACCCUGACGAAGCAACGCCGCGUGGAGGAUGAAGGCCUUCGGGUCGUAAACUCCUGUCGACUGGGAAGAAUGCACCUGACCUAAUACGUCGGCGUGUUGACUGUACCGGUGGAGGAAGCCACGGCUAACUCUGUGCCAGCAGCCGCGGUAAUACAGAGGUGGCAAGCGUUGUUCGGAAUUACUGGGCGUAAAGGGCGCGUAGGCGGCCCGUCAAGUCCCGUGUGAAAGCCCCCGGCUCAACCGGGGAACUGCACGGGAAACUAGCAGGCUUGAGUUCGGGAGAGGGAAGCGGAAUUUCGGGUGUAGCGGUGAAAUGCGCAGAUAUCCGAAGGAACACCGGUGGCGAAGGCGGCUUCCUGGACCGACACUGACGCUGAGGCGCGAAAGCUAGGGGAGCAAACGGGAUUAGAAACCCGUGUAGUCC
This 450-nucleotide ribosomal RNA is filed under the name uncultured bacterium. Its description in RNAcentral is "bacterial SSU rRNA". It matches the Rfam family "Bacterial small subunit ribosomal RNA", at positions 354 to 796 of the family's 1533-position model. The record is from RNAcentral.